Molecule: non-coding RNA, 100 nt
Organism: Gymnopus androsaceus JB14
Lineage: Eukaryota; Fungi; Basidiomycota; Agaricomycetes; Agaricales; Omphalotaceae
Source: the annotation of a GenBank genome assembly
UGCCCCAUGGCUGAGUUGGUUACAGUGUCUGAGUGUUAUGAAGGGGUUCCUCAUUGCAAUUUUGAUUGGAAGGUCGAGAGUUCGAGCCUCUAUGGAGCAG